This 31-nucleotide small RNA is filed under the name Arabidopsis thaliana (thale cress). RNAcentral's name for it is "ATSL054740". Lineage: Eukaryota; Viridiplantae; Streptophyta; Magnoliopsida; Brassicales; Brassicaceae. The record is from RNAcentral.
UUUUUCCCAAAUCCGCAGAUUCUUCUUCUUC